RNAcentral lists this ribosomal RNA (563 nucleotides) under uncultured bacterium. RNAcentral describes it as "partial 16S ribosomal RNA". It matches the Rfam family "Bacterial small subunit ribosomal RNA", at positions 355 to 1375 of the family's 1533-position model. The record is from RNAcentral.
UGGGGAAUAUUGCACAAUGGGCGAAAGCCUGAUGCAGCAACGCCGCGUGAGUGAUGAAGGCCUUCGGGUUGUAAAGCUCUGUCUUUUGGGACGAUAAUGACGGUACCAAAGGAGGAAGCCACGGCUAACUACGUGCCAGCAGCCGCGGUAAUACGUAGGUGGCAAGCGUUGCCCGGAUUUACUGGGCGUAAAGGAUGCGUAGGCGGAUUUUUAAGUGAGAUGUGAAAACCCUAAGCUUAACUUGGGGACUGCAUUUCAUACUGGAAAUCUAGAGUGCGGGAGAGGAGAAUGGAAUUCCUAGUGUAGCGGUGAAAUGCGUAGAGAUUAGGAAGAACACCAGUGGCGAAGGCGAUUCUCUGGACCGUAACUGACGCUGAGGCAUGAAAGCGUGGGUAGCAAACAGGAUUAGAUACCCUGGUAGUCCACGCCGUAAACGAUGAGUACUAGGUGUAGGAGGUAUCGACCCCUUCUGUGCCGCAGUUAACACAAUAAGUACUCCGCCUGGGAAGUACGAUCGCAAGAUUAAAACUCAAAUGAAUUGACGGGGUCAUAGCUGUUUUCCU